Molecule: transfer RNA, 72 nt
Filed under: Caudoviricetes sp.
Lineage: Duplodnaviria; Heunggongvirae; Uroviricota; Caudoviricetes
Description: tRNA-Gln
Rfam family: tRNA
About the family: Transfer RNA (tRNA) molecules are approximately 80 nucleotides in length. Their secondary structure includes four short double-helical elements and three loops (D, anti-codon, and T loops).
Source: RNAcentral
AGGGCUAUCGCCAAGGGGUAAGGCACAGCACUUUGACUGCUGCAUUCGCGGGUUCGAAUCCCACUAGCCCAG